This 792-nucleotide long non-coding RNA is filed under the name Homo sapiens (human). RNAcentral's name for it is "HSALNT0290725". Lineage: Eukaryota; Metazoa; Chordata; Mammalia; Primates; Hominidae. The record is from RNAcentral.
CCGGCCCGGGGCAGCGGCUGCGGCCGCGGGGGGCCUCCCGUCGGGGCUGCAGAUAAAGAAUCCGAGGCGCAGAGAGGUGGCACUGCUGGAAGGAACAGAGCCAGAUCCACAAGAUCCUUCAUUCCGACAAUAAAUAUUCACUGAAGAUCUGCCACAUGUCAGGCCCCAGCCCAGAUCAGGAAAUUGAGGUCCAGUGAGGUGUCUUGGCCAGGACACUCAGUCAGGACGUGACAUGAACACAGGACUGUCUGACUUCAAAUCCAGUGCUCCUUCCCCUGCAGUCCCCACCCCACUGACUGGGGGACAGUGCUCCAGGCAGCUGGAAUGGGACACGGUUUGUGUGGCAGCGAGAUAUCCAGGCUCUCCUCCUUCCAGAUCUAAGGAUUCAAACCCAGGUCUGCUUGACUAGGAAGGCCGGCCCUCUCCAUGGUGCCAGGACAACUCUUUGGAGAAGAUGCCCCUCUCUCUGCCUGCCUGAAUCUUCUCCGUCCACAAAGGCCUGCUCCAUCCUCCCUCCUCCAGGAAGCUUUCCCUGACUGUCCCCGGGCCCAGCCAGGGUGUCUGGGGGGCUGGAGAGACCCACAGAGCCCUGAUCACCGUGGCUGGCCCGUAAGUGUGGCGACUGAGUCCCAGUCUGGAGGCACAGCUGGACUUUCCCAGAGAGAACUGAGGCAUUGUGGGAAUUUCCCAGCUGUGACCCCAGGACCCUGAUUGCCCAGAAUGGCUCCAAGUUCACAUAUCUAGGGACCGUCACCAAGACUCCUGUAUCUAUAUUAAACUCGGUAAAUGUGA